This 528-nucleotide ribosomal RNA is filed under the name uncultured bacterium. RNAcentral's name for it is "bacterial SSU rRNA". It matches the Rfam family "Bacterial small subunit ribosomal RNA", at positions 980 to 1509 of the family's 1533-position model. The record is from RNAcentral.
CUUGACAUCCAGCGAACUUGGCAGAGAUGCCUUGGUGCCUUCGGGAACGCUGAGACAGGUGCUGCAUGGCUGUCGUCAGCUCGUGUUGUGAAAUGUUGGGUUAAGUCCGCAACGAGCGCAACCCUUAUCCUUUGUUGCCAGCGAUUCGGUCGGGAACUCAAAGGAGACUGCCGGUGAUAAACCGGAGGAAGGUGGGGAUGACGUCAAGUCAUCAUGGCCCUUACGAGUAGGGCUACACACGUACUACAAUGGCGCAUACAAAGAGAAGCGACCUCGCGAGAGCAAGCGGACCUCAUAAAGUGCGUCGUAGUCCGGAUCGGAGUCUGCAACUCGACUCCGUGAAGUCGGAAUCGCUAGUAAUCGUGGAUCAGAAUGCCACGGUGAAUACGUUCCCGGGCCUUGUACACACCGCCCGUCACACCAUGGGAGUGGGUUGCAAAAGAAGUAGGUAGCUUAACCUUCGGGAGGGCGCUUACCACUUUGUGAUUCAUGACUGGGGUGAAGUCGUAACAAGGUAAGCGUAGCGAG